This 29-nucleotide non-coding RNA is filed under the name Mus musculus (house mouse). Lineage: Eukaryota; Metazoa; Chordata; Mammalia; Rodentia; Muridae. The record is from RNAcentral.
UCUCACACAAAGUGCUUUUUAACUGUGAG